GAGUUUGCCAAUCCUUACAGCCAUAAAAGCAUCCUCACAAACUGCUGCGCGGUGCUGUGCGGCCCCUUCCAUCCCAGUUUGAUAGACAGAAGAGGAUUUAUCCAGCCAGAUGUCGGGACCCCGUCCAGCCCGAAGAGCGAAGUCCCUUCCUUCGGAGCCAAGCCUGACACCAGCAUGGAGGACGCCUGCCAGGACUUUGCCAUUUCCUGCACAGCCUGACGGGAUGUGCCCCCCUCCCGGGACGUUAGCCCUGCUUUCUGAGGGCUAGCUGCCUGCCGAGGGCAGCCGGCAGCCCUCUCUCUGCCUCUCUCGGAGCACCCCAAGGGAUGCCCAGACCCCGCGGGCAGUUCCCGAGACGACGACAGCCAUCAGCACCGCCUGUGCCUCCGCUCUCCAGGGCUGCGCCUUCCUCCCUCCCGCCGCCAGAGAAGGGGGAAAGCUGCCGUGCGCAAGGAAAAGCCUUCCCGGGCCGCCCUCCCACGGAUUCCGAGCUCAAAGCCAUACAGCAUCCCUCCCGAGUGCAAUAACUGGAGUUCCUGCUGCCUCCCGGGGUGGGGAAAACCCCACGCAACUGAGCCAGGGCCACCGGUGGCUCCCCGUAACCAGCCUUACCCCCCCAAGCUGGGGGCUCGCCGCUUGGAGAUGCUGGUUUUUGGGGGAGCAGGCUUGGUGUUGGGGCCGAGCUGCUGGUGUUACCCAUCCGAUCCCCCUGGGUUUUUCCCCAGCCCCUCUCUGACCCCCCCAUAGGAAGGGAUUCGGUGUGUGGUCAGCGUUCGCCCUCCCAACCCCUGCCCCACAAGUUCCCCGUGUUACUGUUGGUGUUAGCGGGGCUCUGAUUUAGGGGAAGGGUCCCCCCGUGGAGCCCCACGGGGCGGGAGACGCUUUGUGAGGCCCAGCUUAGAGCCCGGUAGGAUUUGCCACCUAUUUAUGCCUUUGACUUUUGUAACGAAAUAAAAUUUCUCCUAUUUC
Molecule: long non-coding RNA, 969 nt
Filed under: Anas platyrhynchos (mallard)
Lineage: Eukaryota; Metazoa; Chordata; Aves; Anseriformes; Anatidae
Description: lncRNA (ENSAPLG00020005453.1)
Source: RNAcentral